Molecule: long non-coding RNA, 637 nt
Organism: Hypanus sabinus (Atlantic stingray)
Lineage: Eukaryota; Metazoa; Chordata; Chondrichthyes; Myliobatiformes; Dasyatidae
Exons: 3
Source: RefSeq, a predicted model, not a curated record
GUCUACUGUGGACCUUUUUCACUGGUGGGCAAGUUGCAGUGGGUCAAAAUUGUCUGGGAUACAGGAGUUGACGAGUGCCAUAACCAUCUUCUCAAAGCACUUCACAAUGGUGGACAGCAUAAUAAGUGCUGCUGAAGAACUACUCUCCUGUCUGCUCAGCUUGGCUCUGCAAACACUUCCCACACGUGUGUGGGCAGCCGAAUCGAGGGAAUUGAAAUAGAUGAAGCCGUCAACAACAUGAAGCGUGUGAUGGAGAUACACAGGGACACGCCGGUUCCUCACCGCGGCAACCACUAACAAGGCCACUCCUGGCACCAGGCUUUCACAGCAGAACAAAGAAAUAUAAUAGAAGCAAUGAAAAACUACAAACAAAGACUUACAAACAACCAAAGUGCAAAAGACAAAAUGUGCGAACAAAAAUACAUGAAUACAUACAGUAGAUGAAUAAAUAAAUUAAUUAAUAAUACCGAGAAUAUGAGUUGUCGAGUCCUUGAAAGUGAUUCCAUCAGUUCAGAGUUGAGGUGAGUGUAGUGAUCCAUGCUGGUUCAGGAGCCUGAUGGUUGGAGGGUAAUUACUGUUCCUGAACCUAGUGGUGUAGGACCUAAGGCUUCAGUAUCUACUUCUCAAUGGCAGCAGU